This 1359-nucleotide ribosomal RNA is filed under the name uncultured bacterium. RNAcentral describes it as "bacterial SSU rRNA". It matches the Rfam family "Bacterial small subunit ribosomal RNA", at positions 28 to 1381 of the family's 1533-position model. The record is from RNAcentral.
GAUGAACGCUAGCUACAGGCUUAGCACACGCAAGUCGAGGGGUAGCAUGUUGGUUGCUUGCAACCGAUGAUGACAACCGGCGCACGGGUGAGUAACGCGUAUCCAACUUGGCUUAUACUUAGGGAUAACCCGUUGAAAGACGGCCUAAUACCUAAUGGUUUAUAAUAGUUGCAUGACUUUUAUAAUAAAGAUUUAUCGGUAUAAGAUAGGGAUGCGUCUGAUUAGUUAGUUGGUGAGGUAACGGCUCACCAAGGCAUCGAUCAGUAGGGGUUCUGAGAGGAAGGUCCCCCACAUUGGAACUGAGACACGGUCCAAACUCCUACGGGAGGCAGCAGUGAGGAAUAUUGGUCAAUGGACGUAAGUCUGAACCAGCCAAGUAGCGUGCAGGAUGACGGCCCUAUGGGUUGUAAACUGCUUUUAUGUGAGAAUAAAGUUAACUACGUGUAGUUAUUUGCAUGUAUCACAUGAAUAAGGACCGGCUAAUUCCGUGCCAGCAGCCGCGGUAAUACGGAAGGUCCAGGCGUUAUCCGGAUUUAUUGGGUUUAAAGGGAGCGUAGGCCGUUUGGUAAGCGUGCUGUGAAAUUUAGAGGCUCAACCUCUACCGUGCAGCGCGAACUGUCAGACUUGAGUGCGUAGUAGGUAGGCGGAAUUCGUGGUGUAGCGGUGAAAUGCUUAGAUAUCACGAAGAACUCCGAUUGCGAAGGCAGCUUACCGUAUCGCAACUGACGCUGAUGCUCGAAGGUGCGGGUAUCGAACAGGAUUAGAUACCCUGGUAGUCCGCACAGUAAACGAUGGAUGCUCGCUGUUGGCUUUUAUAGUCAGUGGCUUAGCGAAAGCGUUAAGCAUCCCACCUGGGGAGUACGCCGGCAACGGUGAAACUCAAAGGAAUUGACGGGGGCCCGCACAAGCGGAGGAACAUGUGGGUUAAUUCGAUGAUACGCGAGGAACCUUACCCGGGCUUGAACUGCAGGAGAACGAUUCAGGGAUGAUGAGGUCCUUCGGGACUCCUGUGGAGGUGCUGCAUGGUUGUCGUCAGCUCGUGCCGUGAGGUGUCGGCUUAAGUGCCAUAACGAGCGCAACCCCUUUUCUUAGUUGCCAUCGGGUGAUGCCGGGCACUCUGAGGAUACUGCCACCGUAAGGUGUGAGGAAGGUGGGGAUGACGUCAAAUCAGCACGGCCCUUACGUCCGGGGCUACACACGUGUUACAAUGGGGCAUACAGAGUGUUGGUUGCAUGUAAAUGUAAUCUAAUCUUUAAAGUGCUUCUCAGUUCGGACUGGGGUCUGCAACCCGACCCCACGAAGCUGGAUUCGCUAGUAAUCGCGCAUCAGCCAUGGCGCGGUGAAUACGUUCCCGGGCCU